UACGAGGGGUGCAAGCGUUGCUCGGAAUUAUUGGGCGUAAAGAGCUCGUAGGCGGCUUGUCGCGUCGGAUGUGAAAGCCCGGGCUUAACUCCGGGUCUGCAUUCGAUACGGGCAGGCUAGAGUUCGGUAGGGGAGAUCGGAAUUCCUGGUGUAGCGGUGAAAUGACGCAGAUAUCAGGAGGAACACCGGUGGCUAAGGCGGCUCUCUAGUACGGUACUGACGCUGAGACGCGAAAGCGUGGGGAGCGAACAGG
This 253-nucleotide ribosomal RNA is filed under the name uncultured bacterium. Its description in RNAcentral is "partial 16S ribosomal RNA". It matches the Rfam family "Bacterial small subunit ribosomal RNA", at positions 524 to 776 of the family's 1533-position model. The record is from RNAcentral.